AUUGAACGCUGGCGGAAUGCUUUACACAUGCAAGUCGAACGGCAGCACGGACUUCGGUCUGGUGGCGAGUGGCGAACGGGUGAGUAAUGUAUCGGAACGUGCCCAGUCGUGGGGAUAACGUAGUGAAAAUUACGCUAAUACCGCAUACGAUCUAUGGAUGAAAGCGGGGGAUCGCAAGACCUCGCGCGAUUGGAGCGGCCGAUAUCAGAUUAGGUAGAUGGUGGGGUAAAGGCUCACCAAGCCAACGAUCUGUAGCUGGUCUGAGAGGACGACCAGCCACACUGGAACUGAGACACGGUCCAGACUCCUACGGGAGGCAGCAGUGGGGAAUUUUGGACAAUGGACGCAAGUCUGAUCCAGCCAUUCCGCGUGCAGGAUGAAGGCCCUCGGGUUGUAAACUGCUUUUGUACGGAACGAAAAGGUUUCCAUUAAUACUGGGAGCUCAUGACGGUACCGUAAGAAUAAGCACCGGCUAACUACGUGCCAGCAGCCGCAGUAA
This 499-nucleotide ribosomal RNA is filed under the name uncultured bacterium. RNAcentral's name for it is "partial 16S ribosomal RNA". It matches the Rfam family "Bacterial small subunit ribosomal RNA", at positions 30 to 523 of the family's 1533-position model. The record is from RNAcentral.